AGGAAGCACCAUAUACAAGGAGUAGGUCCUCCAAGGAUUUCACCAAUUUAGCAUGAUCACCUUUUUCAUCAAACACAAAAGAGGGGAUGACCUUUAGCUCAAAAUAGAGCUCCAAUGUCUGCCAAGAAAUGCCACAAGGAGCCAAGGGCUCGGCUAUAAAUACCAGUCCACCACCUCCUUUCUCACACCUAUCUAAAUUCACAAAUCACAAGAAGUGCAGCAAGAGAAGGAGUGGCGGCGAGCUUAAGGGCAGUCAGGCGUUCGAAGGAGUCAUCGAGAAAGAGGCUAUCCCGCGAGUUAAGGGUGGAGUCAGGAAUAUCCAAGUUAAGGAGUUUUAAGCGAAUGAGGUUGAGCAGUGAUGACGGCAGACGGUGUUGAGCACAGACAAAUGAAGAUCCUUCGAUAGACUAGUACUUGGAUGCGUCGUGUCUCCAUACACGAUGUCAUCUGCUCUUGACUCUUCCGCUGCAAUGUAAAAGUCGAGUUUACAUUCAUUGUAUCAUGCACUCUGAUAUAUUAUUCGAGUUAUUCAGUUUA
Molecule: long non-coding RNA, 537 nt
Organism: Salvia splendens (bonfire salvia)
Lineage: Eukaryota; Viridiplantae; Streptophyta; Magnoliopsida; Lamiales; Lamiaceae
Exons: 3
Source: RefSeq, a predicted model, not a curated record